Molecule: ribosomal RNA, 449 nt
Filed under: uncultured bacterium
Lineage: Bacteria
Description: partial 16S ribosomal RNA
Rfam family: Bacterial small subunit ribosomal RNA
Source: RNAcentral
AACGAACGCUGGCGGCAGGCUUAACACAUGCAAGUCGAACGCCACCUUCGGGUGGAGUGGCAGACGGGUGAGUAACGCGUGGGAACAUACCUUUUGGUUCGGAAUAUUCCCGGGAAACUGGGAGCAAUACCGGAUAAGCCCUUCGGGGGAAAGAUUGAUCGCCAAAAGAUUGGCCCGCGUUAGAUUAGGUAGUUGGUAGGGUAAAGGCCUACCAAGGCUACGAUCGAUAGCUGGUCUGAGAGGAUGAUCAGCCACAUUGGGACUGAGACACGGCCCAAACUCCUGCCGGAGGGAGCAAUGGGGAAUAUUGGACAAUGGGCGCAAGCAGGAUCCAGUCAGGCCGCGUGAAUGAUGAAGGCCUUAGGGUGGUAAAAUUCUUUCAACGGGGACGAUAAUGACGGUACCCGUAGAAGAAGCCCCGGCUAACUUCGUGCCAGCCGCCGCCGUAA